This 269-nucleotide ribosomal RNA is filed under the name uncultured bacterium. RNAcentral describes it as "partial 16S ribosomal RNA". It matches the Rfam family "Bacterial small subunit ribosomal RNA", at positions 28 to 319 of the family's 1533-position model. The record is from RNAcentral.
GAUGAACGCUGGCGGCGUGCCUAAGAUAUGCAAGUCGAGCGGUAACACUUCGGGUGACGAGCGGCGGACGGCUUAGUAACGCGUAGGAACGUACCCCAAGUAGNGGGAUAAGCACCGGAAACGGUGUCUAAUACCGCAUGUGCUCUUCGGAGCAAAGCCUUCGGGCGCUAUGGGAGCGGCCUGCGUAUGAUUAGCUUGUUGGUGAGGUAAUGGCUCACCAAGGCAACGAUCAUUAGCUGGUCUGAGAGGAUGAUCAGCAAGACUGGGAC